GCAGUCAUAAGGAAGUCUACCUUCUCGUCGAUGACUAGCUCGAUGCUGCAGCUGUGUGUUUAGUUCUUUGACCUGAGGUACAUCGACAGUUCACCUUGAGUGUGUUAUAGUUUGACUACACCAUAACUCGAUCUCCUAGCCAUUCAAAACCCUGAGGUGUAUGUUGGCUGUAGCAUAUUCAUUGUAGGAACCAAAUUGCAUCA
Molecule: long non-coding RNA, 203 nt
Filed under: Elaeis guineensis (African oil palm)
Lineage: Eukaryota; Viridiplantae; Streptophyta; Magnoliopsida; Arecales; Arecaceae
Description: long non-coding RNA (EGUI_LNC017312)
Source: RNAcentral